CGUUGCCGGGUCAUAAACAUGUAAGUCGACGAGGGGAGGCCGCAAGGCCGAGCCUAGUGGCGGACGGCUGAGUAACGCGUAGGUGACUUGCCCGGAAGUGGGGAAUAACGAUUCGAAAGAAUCGCUAAUACCGCAUGUGGUUGUGCGUGUAAACGCGUGCAACUAAACCCGCAAGGGGCUUCCGGAGAGGCCUGCGUCCGAUUAGCUAGUUGGUGGGGUAAUGGCCUACCAAGGCGACGAUCGGUAGCUGAUCUGAGAGGAUGAUCAGCCAGACUGGGACUGAGACACGGCCCAGACUCCUACGGGAGGCAGCAGUUAGGAAUUUUGCACAAUGGGCGAAAGCCUGAUGCAGCAACGCCGCGUGGACGAUGAAGGCCUUCGGGUCGUAAAGUCCUUUUCAGAGGGAAGACAUCGACGGUACCUCUGGAAUAAGCCACGGCUAACUACGUGCCAGCAGCCGCGGUAAUACGUAGGUGGCGAGCGUUAUCCGGAUUUACUGGGCGUAAAGAGCGCGUAGGCGGUUCUGUUAGUUGGGCGUGAAAGCCCCCGGCUUAACUGGGGAGGGUCGCUCAAUACUGCAGGGCUUGAGGGUGGAAGAAGAGACUGGAAUUCCCGGUGUAGUGGUGAAAUGCGUAGAUAUCGGGAGGAACACCCGUGGUGAAGACGGGUCUCUGGGCCACUCCUGACGCUGAGGCGCGAAAGCGUGGGUAGCGAACGGAAUUAGAUACUCCGGUAGUCCACGCCCUAAACGAUGGACACUAGGUGUGGUGGGUAUCGACCCCUGCCGUGCCGCAGUCAACACAAUAAGUGUCCCGCCUGGGGACUACGAGCGCAAGCUUAAAACUCAAAGGAAUUGACGG
This 860-nucleotide ribosomal RNA is filed under the name uncultured Chloroflexota bacterium. RNAcentral describes it as "bacterial SSU rRNA". It matches the Rfam family "Bacterial small subunit ribosomal RNA", at positions 34 to 916 of the family's 1533-position model. Lineage: Bacteria; Bacillati; Chloroflexota. The record is from RNAcentral.